CCUGCGGAGGGAUCAUUACCGAGUUUACAACUCCCAAACCCCUGUGAACAUACCUUAAUGUUGCCUCGGCGGAUCAGCCCGCGCCCCGUAAAACGGGACGGCCCGCCAGAGGACCCAAACUCUAAUGUUUCUUAUUGUAACUUCUGAGUAAAACAAACAAAUAAAUCAAAACUUUCAACAACGGAUCUCUUGGUUCUGGCAUCGAUGAAGAACGCAGCAAAAUGCGAUAAGUAAUGUGAAUUGCAGAAUUCAGUGAAUCAUCGAAUCUUUGAACGCACAUUGCGCCCGCUGGUAUUCCGGCGGGCAUGCCUGUUCGAGCGUCAUUUCAACCCUCAAGCCCCCGGGUUUGGUGUUGGGGAUCGGCUCUGCCUUCUGGCGGCGCCGCCCCCGAAAUACAUUGGCGGUCUCGCUGCAGCCUCCAUUGCGUAGUAGCUAACACCUCGCAACUGGAACGCGGCGCGGCCAUGCCGUAAAACCCCAACUUCUGAAUGGUGACCUCGGAUCAGGUAGGAAUACCCGCUGAACUUAA
RNAcentral lists this ribosomal RNA (529 nucleotides) under Fusarium oxysporum. Its description in RNAcentral is "eukaryotic LSU rRNA". The stretch from base 170 to 323 matches the Rfam family "5.8S ribosomal RNA". Lineage: Eukaryota; Fungi; Ascomycota; Sordariomycetes; Hypocreales; Nectriaceae. The record is from RNAcentral.